GUAGGGUCCAAGCGUUAAUCGGAAUUACUGGGCGUAAAGCGUGCGCAGGCGGUUGUGCAAGACCGAUGUGAAAUCCCCGGGCUUAACCUGGGAAUUGCAUUGGUGACUGCACGGCUAGAGUGUGUCAGAGGGGGGUAGAAUUCCACGUGUAGCAGUGAAAUGCGUAGAGAUGUGGAGGAAUACCGAUGGCGAAGGCAGCCCCCUGGGAUAACACUGACGCUCAUGCACGAAAGCGUGGGGGGAGCAAACAGGAUUAGAUACCCUGGUAGUCCACGCCCCUAAACGAUGUCAACUAGUUGUUGGGGAUUCAUUUCCUUAGUAACGUAGCUAACGCGUGAAGUUGACCGCCUGGGAGCACGGUCGCAAGAUUA
Molecule: ribosomal RNA, 371 nt
Filed under: uncultured organism
Description: partial 16S ribosomal RNA
Rfam family: Bacterial small subunit ribosomal RNA
Source: RNAcentral